Molecule: unclassified non-coding RNA, 17 nt
Filed under: Mus musculus (house mouse)
Lineage: Eukaryota; Metazoa; Chordata; Mammalia; Rodentia; Muridae
Description: oocyte_clustered_small_RNA5981
Source: RNAcentral
AACUGGGUGACUCUUAA